GUYUUUUUGUUUAAAAUUUAAAGUCGGGCCUGCCCACUGAAAAUUUAAAUGGCCGUGGUAUUUUGACCGUGCUAAGGUAGCAUAAUCAUUAGUUUUUUAAUUGAAAGCUGGAAUGAAAGGUUUGAUAAAAAAAUAACUGUCUCUAUUUAAUUUUAUUAAAAAUUUAUUUUUAAGUUCAAAAGCUUAAUUUUGAUUAAAAGACGAGAAGACCCUAUAGAGUUUAAUAAUUUAGGAUAACUUGUAUUUUAGAAUUAAUUUAUUUAUUUUUUAAAAUUAUUUAAUUGGGGUGAUUGAAAAAUUUAAUUAACUUUUUUUAUAUUUAACCAUUAAUUUAUGAUAAUUUGAUCCAAUUUUUUUGAUUAUAAGAUAAAAUUACCUUAGGGAUAACAGCGUAAUUUUUUUAGAAAGUUCAAAUUAAAAGAAAAGAUUGCGACCUCGAUGUUGGAUUAAAAUUAAAUUUUGGUGUAGAAGCUAAAAAUUUGAGUCUGUUCGACUU
Molecule: ribosomal RNA, 496 nt
Filed under: Calligrapha ramulifera
Lineage: Eukaryota; Metazoa; Arthropoda; Insecta; Coleoptera; Chrysomelidae
Description: partial 16S ribosomal RNA
Source: RNAcentral